UUAAAAGACGGANGGAAGUUUUCUGAUUGUCGCGUUCAUCGACAUUUUCUUAAAGGAAAAUUGAAGGAUAAAUUCUUUUUUUCUUCCUUUUCUUAUAAUUUCAUAUUUGUAAAGCAAACGAUGGCUUUCUGAAUCCAAGUGCGUGAAAUACGAAAUUAUUGCUAUUGUGUUGAAUUGUGAAAAAAAAACAAAUCUUAAAAUAUUCAAAAAAAUGUAAUGAAAAAUCUGGUUGAAGUUUUUUUUUUUUUUUCUGAUAUCACAGAAAGAGUGAAAAGAAGAGGGGACAAAAGCAAAUAGGUAAAAAUGACGGUUUCAAUGAGUGAGUGAACAAAAGAGAGCGUGAAUAUGUGAACGUAAAUAAGAAGCUGAGAAAAAAUCGAAUUCCAUUGUAGUUUCAACAAAUUAAAAUUCGAAUUAGAAAUGUGGAUGGUAAUGCUACAUGUAUUCCACAAAAGCUGAUUGGAAAAGAAUAACCGCAUAUUAGAAAAAAAACAAUUAAAUAGAAAAAGUGUUGAUUUGAAUAACAAGAACGCUGAAUUGUGAAUCUUAUCAUAUCUUGUACAGCACAUAAUGUUAACGAAAACAAAUUCUGNAAUAUAAUCGUGCUUAAUAUUAUUAAUAUACAACAAGUAAUUAAUAAAAGAUAUUAGUGAAAUAAGAUAAUUGGACUGUGAAUAAAAAUGCUGGUUUUUAUAAUAUAAUGACUAUGUUUGAAAAAACUACGGAACCUGCCGAUAAAAACAAAAUGGAAUAUGCAACCAUGAAAGACAAAUUCUUAGGACUUGUUAAGCAAUAAUGCGUUGUCAUCCUUUAAAAAGUAUAAAGUUUAAUAAAAAAGCCAGCCAUUAACAGCAUCAUCAUUACCAAUACCAAAAACAACAGCAACUACUCUCCCGGAAGUAUUGUGAUUUGCAGAAAACGAUUUCAACGUCCAACUGCGUCUUCAGUACCGAGUAGCCGAGAAGCUUUGCAUGUAANACCAUGCCUUUGAAGGCAGGCAGGCGUUUAUUAUAACGAUUACUUCCGUUCUUUUGCUAAAAUUGCUGUUAGCAACCGUUUUUUCAUAAUUGAAUUUGUGAAUUAUUGAAAUCGAUUCUCAGCCUCGAUAGCUGAAGAGAUGGAAAUUACAAAGGAAAACUUACAAAACGAAAUACUCGCCACCACUGCAAAGUAUUUUUUCAACCCACCUACCUUAUGGAUCUCGAGCAAAUAGAAAUAUGCUCACAUAUGUAAAUACACAUAUAUAAUAUAUAGAUGAAAACUCUCACAUAUUUUGGACACUAACUAGUAAAUAACAGUGUUCAGACAGCAGCGAAAACGAAAUAAUUAGAGCAUUUAAGAUGCCAUUUUUUAAACUUGCAUAAGACUUCACCGCAAACAAAUUACAUUACGCUCUUGACAGCGCGGACUUUGCAAUGUUUACUUCGAUGUUUCGUGCAACAUCUGAAAAAUGGUCAAAGCGGUUUCAGCUCGAGCAACAGCAACCACGGCCGCUUUGUACGUAGCAAAACAGCAAUUGCAAUUACAACAAGAACAGCCGAACGGCAAAAAAUCCACGCAAAAUCAUCAAAAAGAACAGGCGACUUUUUUUCGCGCUGAACCCGAACAAAUUUUAAAACAACGUGGACAGCAGUUUACUCUUGACGCUGAGGAGGUGGACGAGGAGGAGGAGGAGCCGUGUGCGAAACGUAUCGCUGUUGCAUCGCUCAGCAAAAUGGUAAUACCAUCCUUGGCGGCAACAGCAACCACCAGCACAUCAUCAGCGUCCAUAUCCUCUUCUGUCGCAUCAGCAACAACGACGAACCAUGUUAAUACGUAUGCUGCUGAUCAGCAACAAAUACAACAACAAAGGCAACAACAAAAUGCUCUCUAUCAACAACAGAACCCGCCCGCUAGCCUCAAUAGCCAACAGUCGGCGCCGCGGCAGCAUCCGAAAAAGCGGAAAUUCGAUCCAGCCGAGCUGGACCGGCAACAGCAAACCUCACCACAACUACAGCACCACAGCGAUAGCGCAGCAGCAACGUCGUCGAUCACCACAACAACCACAUUAUGGCAUGAUAGCAAGCCAAUUUCGACGAAUAAAAACGUUAAUGUAAAUGCCGAGAACAGUAACGGUAUCUUAACUUCGGCGAGCUUGAAGAACGGCAACGGGGCAGCCACAACAANUGCAAUAUCAUCAGCAGCAACAGCAAAUAAUGUUGCUACAACAAGCUGUAAUAGCAAUCUUUCGUGGUCCGCCACAACAACAAGUGGUGCAAAUGAAGAUGCGACAAAGACGGAUAUUCUCCAUACAGCGAUACGUUCGACUGUUCAACAACAACAACAACAGCAUUCCCCAGCAACAUCGAUGAUUGUGAGUCCGGUGGCAACGGCGACACAUUCCACCAUAACAUUGCCGGCGGGAGUUGUAGUUGGCGCUGGCGCCAACGGUAACAGUGGAACUACAGUUGUAACGGCGGUUGGACGAGGCGGCACUUCCCUAGAAAGCCCCGAGAAACGCAUCAUCAUAACAAGCACACAGCCUUCAAGUAAUUAUAAGCUGCAAAAUGUGUUGAGUGUGACUCACAGCACCGGCAGUAAUCGCACUCUGAUUUCUACAAGCAAUACUACGUUGCAACAACAACAACGCCACACCUAUCAACAGCAUUUGCAACAACCACAGCCUGUGGUUACCAUGCAGCAAAGGCAACAGCAACAGCCGCCACUAGUUGCUAAUUUGGAUCUCAGCGAAUGGUCAAAUACGCGCGUAUUGGCCAAAUUAAAUAAUUUCUAUGCAUCGGGUAUUAUACGACACACAACAUCGUACAACGGCAGCUGUAGUGGUGCAGAUGCCAAUGGCAGACCACCUUCAGCUGCUACACCGAAUUCAAUUACAGUCGAAUUCGAUCCGCCGGAAAAUUGCACACAACCCUAUACGGACGUUUUGGGCAAUGGGCGUUUCAAUGUGAUAUUGGACGCUAGUCCACCAUUAGCCGAUAUUAAUGUGGACACUCGCGUUUGUGUGCGCAGUCAGAUAGAAGGUCGUUCCGGUUACGUUUUUGUGGAAGGCACUGUUACGGCCAUCAAUACAAACACAAAACAGUUCACCGUUCAAAUUCUGACGGAUUCGACACCAAUAUUCAAAACGGUUAAACGGGCAGAUUUGCGUCUGCUGCUACCGCCAUGGUGGGACGAAUUGCGUGAGCUUUCACCUUUUCCACAGCAACACCACACACAUGUUUUUGGCACUCAUAAGCCAAGCGGUGCACAUUCAACGCUGCUCACGUCUCCACAUCAACAACGCACUGCCAGCGGCAGCGGUACUUCAGGGUCAGCAACACACAAAACCAGUGCCGGUCACCAUCAUCCACAAUUGAGUUAUGCGGCUACACGUUAUGACAGCAAAGUUCCGGCACACCUUUCGGUAGCGGGUUCACAACAGCUGCCCGCACACAUGACGUCAUAUAGUGCCGCACAGCAGCAUCUGCAAAAGCAAGAAGAGUAUUAUCGGACGACUGCCACCUCACCCUUCCAAAAUGUGGGUGGCAGUGGGCAGUCAUUGAUUGUGAACGCCCACAAUGCGGGAGCGAUUGGCAAGAUAAAUGGCAACGGUAACAUGGCCACGACGUCGCUACCCGAAAUUGUUGUUUCGCAACAGCAAUUGCAGUUGGGUGGCGGCAGCAGCAGCAGCAACCAUCAGCUCUCACAAUCGCCAUCAGAUGAUCUACAGCGGCGUCAGUCACGGCAAUACGAUGAAUUCGAGUCGGAUGAUGAAUUAAAGGGUGUGCAAAUAGAUGGUUACACGCUUGGCGAUGGCGACCCCGAGAAGCUAUCGGCGGGCAGCAAGCGUAGCAGUGUACAGAGUCGCGGCAGCACAUCAAGCACCCCAAGCAGAUCUCAAGGAACUACACCGCAUCGUUUCAAUAAGGGUGAUAUUGUUCAGUCGGAAUCCGGUGUGCGUAAAAAAUACAAUGGCAAACAAUGGCGUCGCCUAUGCGGUAUGUGCUCCAAGGAAUCUCAGCGUCGUGGUUUGUGCUCGCGCCAUCUUAAUCAGAAAGGCAAUGCUUUUCGGCCUAAUGGUGCUAAUCGAUUUCCUCGUGAUAUGAAUAGCCGUUCAAGCAGUAAAACGCAAGUGGAUGAAGACACUUCGCGUGACUCAGAAACGUCACCCAACUACCGUGCGGCAGGCCGCUCUGACCAGGAGGAAACUGAUGUGGCUAAUAUUUUAGUGUCACUGAGCAGUUCUCGUUCGGCCACGCCAAGCUAUUCUUCGCCUGUCAACCACGGUACCUCACCGAUGAAUGUUACCAACUCGCCCGUGCCAGUCGUCUCCAAUCGCCAAAAUUUUUUCACGCCAAUAGGCGGUGGCCCCGUUGUGACAGCGGACGCACAAACAACUAAGUGGAAGCCCGCAGCUAGCCCCAUACAAUAUGGUACAGUGGGCUAUUCACAAGUUAUACGCCCGGAAACGGUGCGUGCGCAAGGCAACGCUACAGCACCACCGCCACAACAAUCGCCCGUCUCUAUGGUGAUACACAACCAGAACAGUGUUAAUGUAGCAGCUGCACAGCUGCCCGGAACCGCUGGCAAUAUACAUCAUUCCUCUCUGCACUCAGCGCAUCAACAGGUACCGCCACCACUAUCUCCAGCACAAUCUGCUGUCAUGCAGCAGCAGCAUCAUUUGCAGCAACCGCCACUUGCGCAUAGCCAUAUAUCCCUGUCGCCGGGUGGGCCGCCUCCACCGCAACCGAUCGUUAGCAGCGCAGUGAUUGCACCACCUCGGCCACCUGCUUCUGUGGUUACAAGCGUUGGUCACGCCACCACCAGCGUUAUACGGAUCUCACCUGCUGCCGCCGCCGCCGCUGCCGCAAAUAAUGGUUCCACACAUGGCAGCACAGUAGCUCCGUCAUUGCCGCAAUCCUUUCAUCCUGUCAUAGUCGAUCCCACGCAGCUGGUGCCUUUGCUCUCGCCGGCGAGUGGCAAUUCAUCGUUGCAGACAGGACAACCCACAUUGGUUUCGAUCAGUAGCAGUUUGGGUGUGGGUGGGAGCAAUAGUUCGCUCUUAGCCGCCGCACAUCAGCAUAAUUUGCAACAACAGACGGCAGCGCCACCGAUUUCAAAUGAAAAGACGAUUCCAAAAAACGGAUUUCCGCCGGGGUCGAUAUAUCAAUGGCAAACGCUGUUGCCCACCAUCAGCCAGUCCCCCGUUAAACCGACCAAUUUUACAAUAGCCGGCAUCAUACCGCCAACGGCGGAAACACCACCUCCACAACAACAACAGCAAACAACACAAGGAAUUAAUUUGAUAAAUCACCAUGGUGCGCACAACAAUCUCAGCAAUCAUAGUUUGAGCGUCGGUCAUAAAAUAACCGCCGAUUUAGAUUCACCCGAGAAACCGCUGAAUUUCUCAACAAGUGAUGCGGCCGCCGCCAAGAAUAAUGCUUUGAAUAAAAAUAAUGGAGCUGGCACAUCUAGUAGUAGCGGGGGCAACAGCAGCGUACCACAAGAAGAUAACGACGAUCAAUUAGACGAUGAUGUAUUCGAACCAAUGGCACCAGCACAACCCAAGCCGAAGCACGCGCGAUUCGCCAUCAACAGCAGCAGUGAUAGCUAUAGAUAUGGCAGUUCGUCAAAGAAUAAAUAUGGCAAUGAGGGUAUGGGAGAGGCGAAGACAUCAACAGCAUCGGGUAAUAGCAGUUCGGCGGCCAAGCGACGUUCACAAUCGCUCAGCGCUUUACAACAACAGCAACAACAGGCAAAAUCAACUGCCGGAGGAGGAACUUGUGCCAUUGACAAGGAACCCUCCAGUCCAGAACCGGACAAAAUCCGUCGUCCUAUGAACGCUUUUAUGAUUUUCUCUAAAAAACAUCGUAAACUAGUUCACAAAAAGCAUCCGAACCAAGACAAUCGUACUGUUAGCAAAAUUCUAGGCGAAUGGUGGUACGCUUUGAAACCGGAGCAGAAAGCUAAAUAUCAUGAAUUGGCCAGUUCGGUGAAGGACGCCCAUUUCAAGAUGCAUCCACAUUGGAAAUGGUGUUCGAAAGACCGUCGUAAGUCCUCUAGUUCCGNCAAGGGGGAAACAUGUGGAGGGCCUUUGGACAUUAGUGACGGCAUCGACUUGCCAAUACAUAGUCCCGGUUCAGCGAGUGCUUCAAGCAACACCGCCAUCGAUUCUCAAAGUGAUAUCAUACCACUUACAAUUGAAGAAACUCUGGGUCAAGUGAAAGAAGAAAAGACAAGUAUUAAAGCGGAGUUGGUGCAACCAAACGAAACGCAGCAGUCCGAUGAUGAGCACAUGUUGGUGGUAGAUGAAGCUACAAACAGUAAGCUAAGCAGUAAUAGCUGCAAUUUAGGAUCUCAGCAGCAGGAGUCUGCAUUGAAGCAAAUAGAUUUAAAGUGUCGUGAACGCGUUACCGAUUCCGAUAUAGAGGAUGCGGCCUAUGAUUAUAGAAAAACCGUAACGAAUGCAGUGAAGAGUGUACAAAGUGAACAUUCAGCUGAAAACGAAAAGCUCUCAAUGUCGAAGGAAGCAAGUAUAAAAAAUGAGAGUCAAAAUAAAUCGGAGGAAAUGUUGGCGCUCAGCACUUCUGGCAACAACGCGCUUAACGUGAAUACUGAACGAGAUAUUACACUGAAACCGAAACCCAUCAAGCCAUAUGCUUCCAGCAUUGAAAGUAGCAUUCUUAGUCCACAGCAGCUGCCGAAGUACUCAUACAACAGUCCGAAGAACCCAAUCGGUGUAACACCAUUCCAACCAACAGGCGGUGCGUUCAAAACCAUGCCCAUAAGCCCGAAAAGCACAAAGAUAGACGAACAGCAGCUGCAACCACUGCAUAUAAAGCAGGAGGAUAUCAAGCAAGAGUUGCCUUCGCCAUACAAAAUGAAUGGCGGCGGUGCAAAUGUAAAUAGCGUAUUCACUUUCAAUGUACCAAUGGGCGCGGCAGCGGGUCUGAAUCAAAAGACACAACAGACAACAGGACAUCCAUUACGCAGUCCUAAUACCAUGGAGGGUAGUAAAGCCAACGCAGCGGCAUCUUCGGUGCCUUCGUCACCUGCAUCGGUUAGUGUAGCCAACAGCUCGACCACGGGCUCCUGUUUUACCAGCACUCCAGUCAUGACGCCGACACAAAUACUCGCAACGACGACUUGUGGUAAUGGCGGAAUCGCAAGCGGCCAGAAGCAAAUACUUUUCACAGUCAACAAUAUGUUAAAUCAGGUCGCUCUUCUGCCAAUGCCACAACUAACAGAAUCAGUAGGCAGUAUCGCCGGCGCCGGCAAUGUUUCUUGUGGGCCAAUUAAGCCAACUCCCAUCUCUUACCCCAAUUACAAGAAGAACAAUGGCCAAACGACUUACGGUGUGAAUACAAAUAUAAGUGGUGGCAGUGCUUUAUCAAAUACCAACAAUAACAACGCUAUUUUACUACACAAUUAUACUGAGUCUACACCAAAAUCACCGUCUUGCAAAUCAUUACCCACCACUCCGAAAUCGGCGUGCUUGUCUUCAGCUUUCGCAAUGAAUCCACCGGACUCGGCUGGUAAACGCAGCACAGAUAGCAGCUCAACCUCAGCUUUGGACGCCGAGGAUGAGCAGAAUGACAUUGGUGGCAGACAGCAAUUCAUUUUAGCACCAACACCUGCGCAACUGGGACGUGCGAAAUUUCCGCGACGUAAAAAUUUUUCAUCAAACAACGCAGCUGGCGAAAAUAGCAAUAAUAACACAUUUGCUUCAACCGUCCUGAUGGGGUGCAACUCUAUGAAGAACUUGAAUUCGCCUAUUAUGGUGGACUCAUCAUCGCCGAUUAUUGGUAAUGUGAACACGGUUGUCAGUUCUAUGACAUCAGCGCUGCCCACACCCACCUCNUCAACGAACACGCCCAACAGCGAUGAACAAAUGCCUACCACACCAUCGGCAGUUAAUAGCAAUAGCAGUGCCGGNAGCGUGAAUGAUUUAAGCGGUGUGUUGAACCCAAAGUCGCCGUUAAAAUCAGCAUCAGCGACCAAAAAGAAAAACGAUGACAUGGAUAACNUCCUAAAACAAGUUGAUUUUGAGAAGAAAUAUCAAGCAUUGCCACAGUUCAAACCAGAGGAUUGCCUAUCUCCCAGCGCCAUCGCAGUGCCAUCAUCGCCACGCGUCUACGGCACUAAUUAUCGAAAGAAAAAUCCACCACAGCCAAUUGUGCCCCCAAAAAAGCUCGUGUGUGAGGAUGAAUCAGCCCUUGAGACAGCAUCCUUGCCAUCAACGCCGUCACAGCGUUUCUUCGGGCCCGAUUUCAAUAUUGAACAGCUAAAUUUGGAGAAUUCCGAUGAGACAGAUCGUUCGCCCCGCACUCCACAAACACCUUUACAAAGUGCACGAUCCGAUGCGAGCGAGAAGGGUCAUCGUAAAGUAUUGGAAAUACGUCGGAAGUUUGUUUACCAACUUUUCAACGAACACGGCAUGUUUCCAUCAACUCAAGCUACAAUGGCUUUUCAGAAAAAGCACAUCGAUGUAUUUCCGCGAAAACAAGAUCUCCAAUUGAAAAUACGCGAAGUGCGCCAAAAGUGCAUGAGCCAGGCUGGAUUCACACCACACUCGGCCGGUCCUAUGACACCAUCCGCUGAAACCAGUCUGUCCACAACUUCGGCAACAAUAACAACAAACACAACUAUAGCAACAACAACGCUAAACCAGAACUAUGGGAGCGGAGAAAAUUACGCGCAAUCACAAUCAAAUGACGAAUAAUUAAGUAAAGCUUCCCUGAAUACGCAGCUCGUGUGAAGAGCUGAUAGUAUUAAAAACACAAUAACAACUAUGGUUCAUAUUUCUUAGAAAAAGAGAAAGUUAAUGGGAGAGUUCAGUACAAUCAAAUUCAAAUUCAGUGUGCCAUGGCAUAAUGUAAUUAUGCAAUUUAUGCAUAUAACCAUAAUAUAUGCCAUCAAGAGCCGUAAGUAAGUAACAUUUGCAACCGCAAAGAGGGGAAGUUUUUAAUGCCAAUCUAAGAAAUAUUUGAUCAUAUANAAAGGAAAGUAAUUGCCUUUGAUAUACCAGAUGAACUGCGUGACAGUGUAAAAGUUCUGUGACAAUGAUAAUGUAUUAUUGUUCGAAAACGAUUUGAUUACCUCUUUGGGAAAGUUUAUACAUUUAUGUUAUAUUUGGAGAAUUCAUAGAAGACAUAAAUUGAUAAAAAGAUAACCGUUUAGUAUAAGCAAUAAGACACGCGACCUGGCAACAACAACAUACAACACGAUUGCGGUUUGUUGCAACGAUACACCAACAACGCCAGCAAAGAAUUACCAGCAUUAAUUAAUUGAUAAACGCAUACGCCAAGCCUAGAAAACUGAAAUGAAAUGGAUUCGAAAAGCGAUUGUAUUAAGAGAAUCACAAAAUGAACAGCACAGUAAAGAAACACACAGUAAAUUGAUUUAGCACACAUAUAAUGCAAACACUUUAAAACAUAUAUAACUAAUCCCAAUUAAUUAAAGCUUAAAUAGUUUUUAAUUUUAAAACGCAUCAAUAAACAAUAUUGCAAAGCAUACAGGAUAGAAAUAAACCUUUAUUCAAGCAUAUAAUCAAUGUAAUGAAUUCAAAUAAGUGAAUAAUGAAUUAACCGAUUGUAUUAGUACACUCAAACAACAAACAAAGAAAACCGAUAGAAAGAAAAAAAACAAAUAAAGAAGUACAGAAAAUAAAUAAUUAAUUAUUAACUAAGUAGCCUUUGCAGAUGAAACUUAAAGAUGUCUUAAACAUAAUGUUAACACAUUUAAUAAAUUGCUACAAGCGGCACACGGUGAAAAUUAUANAAACUUGGCAAACAUGCUUACACGCAGAGAUAUAAUAACGAAGUAGCCCAUUCAAGACACAAAUAUUAUUAUUUUGUUCAACAUUUUAAAACAGCACAUAAGCAAACAAGUAAGUGCAUGCAAAUAUUUUAUUAAACACAAACACAUACAUAUAUACACCCAUACAGUUAAAAGUAUUGGUAAUUGAGCGAACGUAACCUAUAAUUACUUUGAUGCCUCCUGCAUACUCUCGGCNUUCGUCUUACGACUAUGCAGUUUAUUUUACAUAAUAAUUGUACACGAUUACAAUUUAUAACAUUAUGUUAGUUGUAAAAACAUUGAAACAUAAAUUGAAGUAAAACUCCAUGUAAAUCAA
Molecule: unclassified non-coding RNA, 10114 nt
Filed under: Bactrocera latifrons
Lineage: Eukaryota; Metazoa; Arthropoda; Insecta; Diptera; Tephritidae
Description: putative transcription factor capicua, transcript variant X3
Source: RNAcentral